This 379-nucleotide ribosomal RNA is filed under the name uncultured bacterium. RNAcentral describes it as "bacterial SSU rRNA". It matches the Rfam family "Bacterial small subunit ribosomal RNA", at positions 30 to 412 of the family's 1533-position model. The record is from RNAcentral.
AUUGAACGCUGGCGGCAUGCCUUACACAUGCAAGUCGAACGGUAACGGGCCUUCGGGUGCCGACGAGUGGCGAACGGGUGAGUAAUGCAUCGGAACGUACCUUUCAGUGGGGGAUAACGUAGCGAAAGUUACGCUAAUACCGCAUAUUCUGUGAGCAGGAAAGCAGGGAUCGCAAGACCUUGCGCUGAUUGAGCGGCCGAUGUCAGAUUAGCUAGUUGGUGAGGUAAAGGCUCACCAAGGCGACGAUCUGUAGCGGGUCUGAGAGGAUGAUCCGCCACACUGGAACUGAGACACGGUCCAGACUCCUACGGGAGGCAGCAGUGGGGAAUUUUGGACAAUGGGGGCAACCCUGAUCCAGCCAUGCCGCGUGAGUGAGGAA